RNAcentral lists this ribosomal RNA (392 nucleotides) under Escherichia coli. RNAcentral's name for it is "bacterial SSU rRNA". It matches the Rfam family "Bacterial small subunit ribosomal RNA", at positions 194 to 581 of the family's 1533-position model. The record is from RNAcentral. Lineage: Bacteria; Pseudomonadati; Pseudomonadota; Gammaproteobacteria; Enterobacterales; Enterobacteriaceae.
GGGGGACCUUCGGGCCUCUUGCCAUCGGAUGUGCCCAGAUGGGAUUAGCUAGUAGGUGGGGUAACGGCUCACCUAGGCGACGAUCCCUAGCUGGUCUGAGAGGAUGACCAGCCACACUGGAACUGAGACACGGUCCAGACUCCUACGGGAGGCAGCAGUGGGGAAUAUUGCACAAUGGGCGCAAGCCUGAUGCAGCCAUGCCGCGUGUAUGAAGAAGGCCUUCGGGUUGUAAAGUACUUUCAGCGGGGAGGAAGGGAGUAAAGUUAAUACCUUGGCUCAUUGACGUUACCCGCAGAAGAAGCACCGGCUACCUUAUUGCCAGCAGCCGCCGUAAUCCGGAGGGUGCAAGCGUUAAUCGGAAUUACUGGGCGUAAAGCGCACGCAGCCGUUGC